CCUACGGGUGGCAGCAGUGAGGAAUAUUGGUCAAUGGCCGGAAGGCUGAACCAGCCAUGCCGCGUGAAGGUCAGUGCCCUAUGGGCGUUAAACUUCUUUUGUGCGGGAGCAAUAAUGGUCACGUGUGGCCAGACGAGAGUACCGUACGAAUAAGCAUCGGCUAACUCCGUGCCAGCAGCCGCGGUAAUACGGGGGAUGCAAGCGUUAUCCGGAUUUAUUGGGUUUAAAGGGUGCGUAGGCUGUGAGGUAAGUCAGCGGUGAAAUGCCCCCGCUCAACGGGGUGAAGUGCCAUUGAUACUGCCUGGCUGGAAUGCGGAUGCCGUGGGAGGAAUGUGUGGUGUAGCGGUGAAAUGCAUAGAUAGCACACAGAACACCGAUUGCGAAGGCAUCUCACGAAUCCGCGAUUGACGCUGAUGCACGAAAGCGUGGGUAUCAAACAGGAUUAGAUACCCUAGUAGUC
RNAcentral lists this ribosomal RNA (460 nucleotides) under uncultured bacterium. RNAcentral describes it as "partial 16S ribosomal RNA". It matches the Rfam family "Bacterial small subunit ribosomal RNA", at positions 338 to 795 of the family's 1533-position model. The record is from RNAcentral.